RNAcentral lists this long non-coding RNA (4538 nucleotides) under Homo sapiens (human). Its description in RNAcentral is "HSALNT0106688". Lineage: Eukaryota; Metazoa; Chordata; Mammalia; Primates; Hominidae. The record is from RNAcentral.
GUUCUGGGCUUAGAAUCCUGGUUGGCUGACUUCUGGCUUAUUGCUCUUUUCACAGCCGUAAGCUGUCUCCUGCAAUUGAUUUCUUCAGAGUCCAUGGCUAAUUCUUUAGGAUACCCUAAUCGUGGAUGGAGCUGGAGCAGGUUGGCCCCAGAGAUUGGAUCCUGGGUUGCAGAGGAGGAAGAUGCGUACUUUCCACUCUCCAUGCUGACAUAGACCGUUUUAUAUAUAUUUAUUUUUUCAUAUCACAUAAUUUCAAUCACCUUCCUGCACUAAAAAACGUAGAUUUCUCCAACAUCAUUCUUGAGGCUUGCAGUGGAUUCUAUGAGAUGAAGGUACAUUUUCACAUAUGUUCAAACUUCAUAGCCUGUCUUUCCCAGUGGCUUGUGAUGGAGUCCUCAUCAGUGUAGCGAGCUGGGGAAACAUCACCGAGGAGGAAGCAAUGACUGACUGGCCUGAUGUGAGGUGCUGCCCCAGAGGUCCGUCUUGGCCUGAACCCCCUGAGAUGAGCUGGGUCGCAGGCCCCCGAUGUUUGCAGCCAUGGUACAUAUGUGACAUUUCUGCCAACACACAUAAUUAUACUAUCCCUUAAUUAGUAACCCUGUCUUUAUACCAGGGAAAGCUUCAGCUGCUUGUCAACAAAAAUAUAUUUGUCCCACGGCCUUAAAAACACAUACACAUAAAUUGCCAAUUAUUCCCCAUUCAUAGACUUUGGCAAGACACCGGAGAGCUGUUUGCUUUCCCUUAGGCCAAAUUAAGACUUACCUUUCAUGGCAACUUAUUUGCCGGAGUAAUUUUCCACCUCAUUUAAUUAGGCUAAUUGAUUCAACAGCCCUGUCAAGGGACAACGCAGUGCUGGGUGCUUGGGGCAAAUUAUUCUGACCUCCUUUGAGCAAAGGCCUGAUUAGUCUUCCUGUUUUCAAAUCCAGAUCAGCCUUUUUUUUUAACCUUGUGUGUCUCACUUCGUGCCACAUGGGUAAGUACAUGUGGAGAGCCACUAAUUUAUUAAGCACUUUGAAAAGGGCUGGGUGCUGAGCCCAAGCUGGUGAUUCCAUCCAAGGAACAAUGAGCUCACUGAAGCCUGAGAGUGAAUAGAAAUAACUGGAUCUGGGGGAAUCGUGAAUUCAACAGAUUCCAGCGCAACUAAGAAUUGUCAUUCUCUCCAGCUGUUAGUUCAGACGUUCCAGGAGGCAUUCUGCAGGCCGUGUUCUAAUGCAUCCAGUUCAGAAAUUUUAUGGUUUUUAGGAAAAAUAAAUAAAAAUCAGUGUAGUAAGCUGGGGAAACAGCUCUGAGAAGGAAGCAAAGGCUGACUGGGCUAGGUAGAUCUUAGAUCUUGCUAAAUUGCAAAAUGGAUUUCUAUUCUCUUUUUCCAUGUUCUCCUUCUUGCCCCUUUUCUGAUACAUGUGUGUUUCACUGGACGUCAAGUGUAGAGGAAUGGCUACACCACACGAAGCAAAUAAUUAGAAGCCAAUGCUCAUUGAGGCCACACUAUGCGAAGGGACUGUUCUCGACUCUUUACGUGUAUCGAUUCAUUUAAUCUUCAUUACAACCUGAUGAACUAGGUGACAACUUAGUGCAUCGCAUAAACCUGAAUUUGCCAUUUUCCCAACCUGAAAGCAAGGGUGGCCAGGCCACCCAGGGCAAUGGUGAAUGGUGGGUGAGAGGCAGAGCCCCUCUCCAAUAAACAACCUGGACUGUUUAUUGGGUUUUUGACCAACAAGACCUCAGGGAAAUUCCGGGAGCCUGAGGUUGGCAGAGACACAUAGAGGGGUGUGCCCUGUUGUCACUGACCAAUGGCAGAUGUGCCCUUACUCUGAACGCCAUCAAGAACACCUCUGUAAUAAUUUUCCUGUCCUCAUUAAGUUUGAGUUUGCAAGGAGACUCUUGCAAGCCAAGUUAAAUAUUCUGAGGCUUUAUGUCUGAGAUUCAGGUGGCUGCCACCCUGAGAGGGGAAAUGCCUGGCAUUAGAGCUUCUCCCACACAACAAGGUGGGAGUGCGGAUUUCCUUCCAGAGAAAUCACCAUAACUCAGCCAAUAUUGUAAUUAAAAUAGCAGUCAUAUAAAGAAAAAAGAUAAAGCAACUUGAACACUCAUAAGUACAAGGCUCAACAAUAAGAUACACUAUGUAUUUACAUAUUUUACUACAGUAUGACAGUUUAAAGAAAUAAAAAGUAUAGUUUUAAAAUGGGAAGAGCAAUGGGGAGAUGGUGAUACUUUUAAUCUUUAUACGUCUUUUCUAUUUCUCUAGCAAUAUAAAUCAUAUUUUUAUAGAAAAUCAUCAAAUAUGAACCCAUUUACAACACAAUAAUGAUAACAAAACAAUGGUCUCACACUCUGCUGCUGGCUGAAUGUGUUUUUCUGUGGCACAAAUGUACCUGGUGUACUUGUCUAGCUACGCUUCCUUCUUUGGAAGUUCCUUUGUGUAGGGCAUACAUCCAUUCUGGUUUAUUCAGGAAAGUCCCAGCUUAUGCCUGUUGGCCUUGGGGAAGAGUGUCCCUUUCACUCUCUAAAAUGCCUAAGUUUCAUUGAUAUUAUGAUACAGUCACCCCAGCCAUAAGCCUUGAUGAAUAAAUAGACCUAGGAAGACAUGUUCUUCCCUGGUGAUCUGCUUUUAUGUCCACAUCGGGUUGAAUCCCUCAUGAACCUCUGUCCAAAGCAGAGCCAAUUGGAGUCCCUCUCUCAACAAUUUGGACUGAGUCACUAAGGUCAAGCCAAGCAGAUUUGAACAAUGGAGUUGAGGUCAGGUGGAGCAGUGGCCAGAUCUGUUAUGACAACAACCUAAAGGCAUAUUUGCAUGUCAUUAUUAUGGGGGUAAAGGAGUCAAAGGCUUUGGAAGGGAGACAACAGGGAGAAGGAGGUCCUGUUUUCUUGUCAUUAAUGGGUCAGACAUCACCACUGGGCUGCUGAGAAGCAUGGCUUUUAUUAUUCCCCAUCCCUUCUUCCCAUAGCUAUCAAAGGCCAACUAGGAGUGGAAUAAAACUGCCUAUAUAAGGGAGUGUUAUGUGGCCCCCCACACCAUUCUCCCUUCCCCUUCCCAGGGGCUUCUGCUCUCUUUGAAGUCAAAGGAUGGAGCACCACUCAUACAUUUUUAUGCAGACUCUUGAAAGUAAAUCCAACUGCAGAAGGAGUUGUGCUUUUCAUUUCCUGGUGGUGGCAUCCAGUCACCAGGCUUGAGAGCCCAUAUCUGGGCUACUACAGCAGCAGAAAGAGAUGGCAUGGUGUGCUACCAGGCAGCAACAAAGACUGUCCCUCUGGGGUUCCUGGUUCCUGAGAGGAUGGAAAACAGAUCCUGUACACAUCAUGGGCCCCAGAUUUGGGGUUAGGAAGGGUAACUGGGACUUGGUUCAACAGUCUUGCCAGAGACCAAAGGAGUUCGGGGCAUCAGAGCAAGUGGAUGAACCCAUUGGCUGGAGGACAAGUGAAAGAUGUGGCCUAGUCUCCAGGAGACCACCUAUGCCUAGAAGAGUUUUUUGUCAGCAUGGCUGUUGGAGCUACCACUUGACCAGGUUGAGUUCAUAGAUAAUGAACGAAGUCAGCAGUUACUACCAACCAAGGUGAUGUCUGAAAGCUCACUGUGACAUUCACAUACUAGAUACACACCUUCUCUUUCUCUGCUCUCCAUUCCAACACAAGAGGAGAGAACAGGAGGAAGGAAGCAUGUGAGAGAGACUGUGUCUCACUGUUCACCCCUGGCCAAUCCAGUCAAGCUCCAUGCAUAGUCUUCCUUGAGGCUGAGAAGGUGGAAGGAGAAGCACUACCCCUUGAAUAUGGAAUUGGAGAUUUAAUAUUGACAGCACUGACUCUUAGAGAACUGAAACGAGACAGGAAAGGCAUGCUGCCCUUUUGGGUGUUGCUAAGAGUGUCCCCACCAGGGGAAAAGGGUAGUUCGACAGAGUCCAGUUGGUAACAGACACUCGAUAAAAGAAUCCGUUUUAUGUUUAUUAUCUAAUGAAUCAAGAUUCCUCAUUAAAUCAGUUUGUGGAGAGAAUGUUAGAGGCUUCCUCUAACUCAGCAACUGUCUUUCCUGAAAAUCCUAGCUCCCAGUACACGGAGCUGCCACCGUGAAGCUUCAGUUUCCCUGCCACCUGACACCAUGGUGACUGCUCCCCACUUCCAGUGGAAAUGUGUCACAGAAGCCGCUAAUGGCCAUGAAAUUCUUCAUGCUCUGGGAUUUUUGUUUUCCUGAAACCUUUGACACAGAGCUUUCAUUGAGAAGAGGAAAUGAAGAAAGAAGCAUGGUUCCAAGUACCAUGAAUAGCCCCACCCGAGGGGAGCAGUUUAUGUGUGCAGAAAGCGCCCUGGGAAUUAUGGUACAGUGGGUGUCAGGGACUAGAAGGAAAUGAAGAGUGAGAUCCAAGGUGAACCCAGAAGUCUGCAAUAGUGUCUCAUGAUCUCUCCAGUCAACCACUAAUAAAUACUUUUGAGCAUCUAAUAUUUGCUGCGUCCUAGACAAGGGCUGAACAUCGUCACUAUGCUAGGCAAGGAUCCCAGUGAGCAAGGAAAGGCCUGCAGAUGCCUCUCCCAACGAAGACCUGUGCACC